CCUCCUCCUCCUCCUCCUCACAGGCGUUUCAACAACUCGUCGGGUCGAACUUUUUAGCGUCGGCGUUGAAGCGAAACAGGUGCUCUCCGGUUUCUUCCUCCAACCAAAGACUUCCUCUGCUCCAUCUUCCUUUCCUAACUUUGUACUUUUAUUUUAUUUUAUUUUAUUUGAGUUGAGAUUUGCACGGUUUGCUCUGCGGCUCGUGAAAACAGGAGAAUUGUGCUUUUUGUUUUGGAGCGGACACGAGUCUCGUCACGUUUUCGGCACCUUCCAGCUUCGUUUGGGUUUUUGUGGCUGCAGCUUCUUUUUAAAAGAGUUCAUCCAGAUUUUAUGUUUUAAAGCAGGCAGGUUUUAUGUUCUUGUUGAGGUCAGGAGUUUGUAAGUGGAGCCACACUAACGGGUCAAACAGAACCGAGGUGAUAGUUCRGACUGCAGAUGUGGACCCGGUACAGAUCUGCACUCGGAGCUAAAUUCAGUUUGAUGUUUUACCUGCGAGUCGAARCAUCUUGAUUCAAACUUGAUUUGAUCAGAAUCACUGCUGGUUCAGUUUUUUUGUCCGACUGCAGGAAAAUAAGGAAAAUAAAUUCAUUAAAUCAAUUUUUUGUCGACGGAAAUAGGAAAGGAAGCGUCCGUGUUUGGGUUCUGUUACAGCUUCCUGUUACUGGAGCGUGGGCUCGGCUCGGUUCUGAAGCUGCAGCAAAGAUCGCAGGUUUUUCUUCUUCUUCUCUUCGUGGGGCUGAACGAGAUCCAAGAUGCUGUCGUUAAACAUGAAUGUAAAUGAACUUUUAUGCAUUUUUUUUUUCUUUUUAAUAAUUCUUUGUUUUAAACCACAUUAGUUUGAAGAUGUUGCUGUAAAUGAAGCCUGGACCAGAAGCGUUUUAUUUUAUUUGUGUGUUUUUGUUGUUGUUUUUUUUUCGGAUGCGUACGGUGCGAUGAACUCCGGAGGCCUGUUUCUGCCCGGCGACACCAGCAGAUUAAAAACUAUUAACGACAAUCUGGCACAAAUAGAUAAAAAGCUCAUUUUUAACUUCCUCGCCCCACAGGAACGGUCCUCCGCACGAGUCCGGUGUGAUUGUAAAAUAUUUGUUCAGGUAGAGGAUGAGCAGCGCCGUGUUUUAUCGCAGCAUGCAGUGGAGCUUCUUAUUUAAUUAUCUGUUCGGGUUUUUUUUUUUUUUUUUGUAUUUUAAACUUUUGCUUUGGAACCAAACGGCCGAGGUUUAAAGCACACAGAGACACGUUUGGGAUGUUUGUGUGAGCGUGCACGCUGCGCCUGCUGUGUGAGCGUGCACGCUGCGCCCGCUGUGUGAGCGUGCACGCUGCGCCCGCUGUGUGAGCGUGCACGCUGCGCCUGCUGUGUGAGCGUGCACGCUGCGCCUGCUGUGUGAGCGUGCACGCUGCGCCCGCUGUGUGAGCGUGCACGCUGCGCCUGCUGUGUGAGCGUGCACGCUGCGCCUGCUGUGUGAGUGCUGGGUUUGUUAUUUAAAGCGCCGCUCGCUCUGACGUGAGGCUGAUGUUUUAUUUUAACGCUGUUUGACAAUGAAUUACUCUGCACUUAACCCUGUUUCUGUCUUUCUUUGGCUUGGAGAGGAAACUCCAGCUGCCUAAAGGUUACAACGACCAGACUGUGGAGUCAGUGUCUUACCUGCAGCAGACAGACGAGUCACCAGGAGCUGAUCUGUUUUUUACAGCAGCGGUUCAAACAGAUUCAGCUCAGGGCUCAAAAACCAGCAGGUUGUGACAAAUUAAAGAUUUAACACGACUCCCUUUGAACAAAAAGAGACUUCCAGCAGAACCAGAACCAGAUCCAGGCUCAGGUUGAGCAGCCAGCUGUCCCCACUCACUGGGGUCAGAGAGGACAGGAACGAGACAAAAACUAUGCAGAAUGACUGGUCCAGGAGGGGCUCCCAUGGUCCAGGACUAGUGUUUGUGGUUCCAGACUAGUUUGUCAUGAUCCAGGACUGAUUUCUAAUGGUACAGGACUAGUUUUUUGGUCCCAAACUAGUUUAUAAUGAUCUAGGGCUAGUUUAUUAUGGUCCUGGUCUAGUUUCUCAUGAUCCAGRACUAGUUUCUCAUGAUCCAGGACUAGUUUCACAUGGUCCAGGACUAGUUUCUCAUGAUCCAGGGCUAGUUUUCCAUGGUCCAUGAGUGAUUUAUCUAAUCCAGGACUAGUUUCUCAUGGUCCAGGACUAGUUUUUGUGGUCCCAGACUAAUUUCUUAUUAUCCAGGACUAAUUUCUUAUUAUCCAGGACUAGUUUCCAUGAUCCAGGACUAGUUCAUUAUGAUCCAGGACUAGUUUUUCAUGGUCCAGGACUAGUUUCUCAUGAUCCAGGACUAGUUUAUGUGGUCCCAGACUAGUUUCACAUGAUUCAGUACUAGAUUUUGUGGUGUCAAACUAGUUUUUCAUGGUCCAGGUCUAGUUUUUCAUGGUCCAGGUGUAGUUUCUGUGGUCCAGGUCUAGUUUUCCUUGGUCCAGGUGUAGUUUCUGUGGUCCAGGUCUAGUUUUUCAUGGUCCAGGUCUAGUUUUUCAUGGUCCAGGUCUAGUUUUUCAUGGUCCAGGUCUAGUUUCUGUGUUCUAGGUCUCGUUUUUCAUGGUCCAGGUCUAGUUUUUCAUGGUCCAGGUCUAGUUUUUCAUGGUCCAGGUCUAGUUUCUGUGGUCCAGGUCUAGUUUCUGUGGUCCAGGUCUAGUUUUUCAUGGUCCAGGUCUAGUUUUUCAUGGUCCAGGUCUAGUUUCUGUUGUAGAAGCUGUAGGAACCACAGGUGAUCGUGGUCUCCUCAUGAUGACCUUAGUGAUCCAACAGCAGCUUUAUUUCUUUAUUCUUCUACAGUUCAGUCAUCAAAACUUCAUCAAAACAUUUUCUCAGCUUAAAAUAUUACAAAAUAAAAGCCCAAACUUCCUGUGGAGCUUCAGAGAUAAAAGUUGUUUCAGGGUUAGUUCUUCAGUCAGGUGUGAAGAGUCUUCUGUCCCGMCUGAAGGUGGCGCUGUUGUCUCACUGUUGAUCCCUGAACAUGAAACAGCUUAUUUCUGUAAUGAAACCUAAUUCACCGAGGUUUAUUUUACUAAUGUUGUCCUGAGGUGACAUCAAAGAUCKGAGAGGGAACACAGGAGGAUGAAGGUCAGGGUUAAUAAAACCUCCAUUAGACAAUUAAAGGCAGUUUUGUUACAGAAACACUCGACAUGAAAGAAGAAAAUCAACAGAUUUAGUUUGCUGCUUUCAUCCUGUAAAAAGCAGAAAAUUACUCUAAAAUAACCGAACUUCAGGCAGCAGGAGGAUAAUCUUCCUCCUCAGAUGUGUGAUGAUCCUCCUGCACCUCAGACCAACAACCUGCAGAUCUUCUCCUCAAUCCUAAAAGCUGCUCUGAGCUCAGGGACCCGUCCACAGCUGCAGCCUCUCGCACACAUUUCCUCCACGGAGGAAACAAAGCUGCUGAUGCGGAACGAGGGAGGAGGAAACGUGACACCUCCUUCUGACACUCAACAGUUGUUCUGAGCCGCGAGAAAACUCCAGAACAUCGUUAACGUUAGCUUCAUUAAUGAGCAUCUGCUGCGAGUCUGCAGGGCGCCAAACAUUACUCUGCAGAAACAGGUGGGCUGACUCAUGACUCGGCAAAAAUAAUUAAACAUUUCUAUGGAGAUAAAUUAGAGCUUUAAAGUUUGAAAGAAAAAAUUUGAAACUGAAAAUUUCAAAACUUAAAAAAAAAAAAAAGCCAGAACCAGACGAGGAAAAAUAAACUAGAAUCAGUUCUUUUAACUUUUUUUGAUUUUAUUAAUCCAAUUUUAUUUGGCCCCAUAAUGUUUAAAAAAUUUAAACCGCUAAAAAUAAAAACGCUAAGAUGACUGUCAGACUGGUGGGCACAAACCUGUUAGUUUUCUAUUGGUUUAAUUUGAAGGUGGGCGGGAUCAUCUGUGGCAGUUGGCCAAUCAGAAGGUAUAACUCAAACGUCGACCCUUUCAGAAUAAAAGCAUUUCUAGAUGGUUUGUGUUUUUAUAAAUACAAUUUAAAGUUAGUCAAACACUUUAUCUACCAUACAUACUCAUGUAUUUGUUAUAUUGUUAAAUGUUAUUUUAGUUCUUUUUGAAGUUCCGUUUGAAGUUUAGCUGCUAAAGAUGCUACCUGCUAACAGUGACUGACGUCCAGCACUGUUUGUAAGAGUUUUUUUUUUAUUGACGAAUGGCGUAAAAAUUGUUUUAUGGUUUA
Austrofundulus limnaeus is the source of this 4196-nucleotide long non-coding RNA. RefSeq lists it as uncharacterized. The transcript is spliced from 2 exons. NCBI's taxonomy places the organism in Eukaryota, Metazoa, Chordata, Actinopteri, Cyprinodontiformes, Rivulidae. The record is from RefSeq and is a predicted model, not a curated record.